This 411-nucleotide unclassified non-coding RNA is filed under the name uncultured Funneliformis. RNAcentral describes it as "sequence contains 28S rRNA gene". The record is from RNAcentral. Lineage: Eukaryota; Fungi; Glomeromycota; Glomeromycetes; Glomerales; Glomeraceae.
AGUAAAAUAGUACGUGAAAUUGUUGAAAGGGAAACGAUUGAAGUCAGUCGUACCGACGAGAAAUCAGCUCUUCGAGUGCGAACUUGUGGGCGUGCGUGAGUCUUUAACGGGCCUCGCUGUUUGCAAUUUUGUGCUUUUUGGGUGUACUUUUUCGUAUGGUAGGCCAACGUCAGUUUCGAUCACCGUAAAAUGAUCGGAGGAAUGUAGCUUCGAUCUCGUAUUGAAGUGUUAUAGCCUCUGGUAGAUGCGGUGACCGAAACUGAGGAUUGCAACGAAUACCCUUUUGGGCUAUCCGUCUGGCCUCUGAAAGUUGCUUAGGUGCCGAAAGCGUGCUUACGGCUAUUUAAGUUGACGGUCAACAGGUUAGAACGUGAUUACAUUCGUUAAGGACGUUGGCGUAAUGGCUUUAAA